This is a long non-coding RNA of Cygnus olor (mute swan), 3321 nucleotides long. RefSeq lists it as uncharacterized. The record is from RefSeq and is a predicted model, not a curated record. The transcript has 4 exons. NCBI's taxonomy places the organism in Eukaryota, Metazoa, Chordata, Aves, Anseriformes, Anatidae.
UGUGCUUCGGUGAAUAUUUGACUGAAUGUCCUCAGCAGGUGAUUUUUAUGAACUAUUCAAGGAGGUCAGCAUCAUGAAGUUAUCUUACGUCUUAUGGAACAACUUCGGUAAUGUAAGUACAGAUACACAUUAUCAACUAUUGUAUCACAGAAUCACAGAAUCAUCUAGGUUGGAAGAGACCUCCAAGAUUACCUAGUCCAACCUCUGACCUAACACUAACAAGUCCUGCACUAAACCGUAUCAUGUAUUGAUGUAAUUCCACUGGAGUCAAUGGAGUUACCUACCUUAGAAAAGCGAGCCUUGGAGAGUGCUGUUGUGGAUGGCAAUGAGUGUGACUCAUCUGGCUGUAGAGCUGGAAAUGUAAUAUUAAAGAAAAUAAAUAACAAGACUGAAAAGAGCAUUAAAUGAGGAAAUGAGGCACGAAUGCGUGAAACAGAGGUUAGUCUACUGCAUGAUGAGCUGUUUGGCACUUUCAACGCACUUUCCAAAGCCUCUUCAUACCAGCUACUGGAAUAUUACUAAAUUUGGGAUCUUGACAGAUAGAAAGACUAAGAUCUGACAAUGUUUGUUAUUUGUCUUAUACAAACCAGUUUAUUUCCUGUACAUGAAGUAAGGCUGUCUCUCUCUGUACAUUUCCAUCACGGCUGCAUUCAUUAAAGGAAAUUAAAAGAAGGUGGAUACUGAAGUGAUGCUGCAGGAAACCAUCUUCCCAAAGAGCUGAACUUUCUGCUCCCUUGUUGCUCAGGGAGAACUCUGCUGACUCCUGUCACAACCCUGACUGGCAGCUUUUUCCCAGAGGUAACCAAACAGGCUCCACUCAGGAAAUUCCUGUAAUUGCAUUAUUUUUCAGGUGCUGAAAACAUUCAUUUUAUUGCCAAAGUUCUUGUGAAAGAAAAGACCGAGUAAUAUAGAAUAAUAGAGCACAGGAGAGAGGGAAUGAAUUUUAUGCUUAAAGUUAGUGCUAAAGUAUAACAAAAAAUUAAUUUUGUUCAGACAGUGAAUGGUAGUUAACUGCAUUGCAAUGCUCCCCACAAUGACUUAAAAUUGUAUUUGAUUCUUUAAUGGAGGGACAUGAUUUUCAUAAUGUACUACUGUUUCAUGAUGCUGCAUCAGCAAGUAAAACAGUAGGUCAUGGUUUGCAGAUGUCUUCUCAAACAUUGACAUUCUUUCACACUUGGUAUCACAUCAGAGAGUGAUAUUUCAAGAGAGUUAAAACCACUCAAUUUCCUACAGGUGAUCUCUUUCCAGAUAACUAAUUUAGAUGUGCUGAAAAUGUAAACCUACUGUUAAAUUUUCAUUCACAAGGAGGACAUUUUUAACACAAUGUGGGGAUAAUUAACGUGAUUGAGGUAAAGGAUGUUCUAUUUUUAUACUUUCUGCAAAAUUACCAUAUAUUAGAUUUUGUGAAAAUCUUUUAGACCAAUUUAAUUUCAGAAUAUCUAAUUAUUAACCCAGUUACCUCACUAUAUGUCUAAAAAUAACAUAAUUAUGCAUUCCUUAAGAUCACCAAAAUCCAUAUGCUAAAAGGCUAAGCACAAUAAAAUGUAAUAGGAAACAGAUUUCAGAGUAUAGUAUGUUGUACUGCGUAUAGGCUGUUGUAUGGCCAAAUUCCUAAAAAUAAAGGCUAUGAGCUCUGAUCUUGAAAUUCAGUUGUAUGUUAUUGUAUUGUUUUCCAAGUCUACUGUAAAUAAUUAAGAAUCUUAAAUAAGAGAGUUAGAAACUCUGUUUUUGGCAGCUUGAAGACCUCUGCUGCUUGAUGCAAGAUGACUAUUAAUAAAGAAUAACUUACUGAAAACGUGAGUUAUGCUGACAUAGUAUCAAACGUGGGCCGAAUAGGGUAAAAAGUAAUUAUUCUCAAGAAACACUGAGUAGUAGUUUGAUAUUCCAAUAAUCCUCUUCUCUAUGAGAGUGACGCAUCAUAAAUAUUUCAUCAAUCAUCAGAGAAAACUCAUUUUAGCUCUUCUCCUCUCUACCACUGCUUCUUAAAUUCAGGACCUGUGCCUCUUUGUAAUUGGCUUAGCAAGCAGCUCCUCCUCUUCUGCCCACCUUAUGUUUUGGCUUGAAUAUAGUAGUUUUGCACUUAGAGCAAAAUUAAGUAAAAGACUUACCAGUCUGUGGAAUAAUGAGAAUUUAGAUGCUCAAGUCUAAAACCACCGCUUCUUUAUUUGCUGACAUCACCUCCUGGAAGUGUGGUUCACAGCAAAUCUGAAAGGAAAUAAAUACACACUGCUGUUUGUUCCUAACUUUGUAAAGGUGUUUUCUAUUACAGACUCACUGGAGAAAAUACAAAAUCAAGGAUAAAAACCGAAGACUCCCACAGUCAGGAGAAUGUCCUGAUCACUAGCUAUUAUAAUAUUGUUAAACAAAUGGAUACACUCCACUCCCAGUCUCUGGCAAAUGAAACUUGCACACACUUACCUUCAAAUUUAACUACACCUAAACAAGUUGUAGACCAUGUGAAAAACUCAAGUCUAAUAAGAAAGUGACAUAAAAAAAGAGAUUUUUAAGUUUAAGAAAAAAUUUGGUUUGUUCCAAAAUUAAACAUUCUGACAAUGUGCUGCAAGGAAAUUUGAUAAUUCUAAAUUUCUUCUAGAAAUAAUAAAAAAAAAAUAGAAAACUUCUGAGGCAAAACAUAUUUUUUGUCUCUUCAAUUUGCCUAAUAAAAGCCAAAGUUUUCCCUUGGUUGCUAAAAAUUGCUACCGACAGUGUAAAAUUUCAAACAUAUUAGUAUUGUAUGUAAACUUUGUUUCACUAGAAAUUUCCUGAGCAGUCCAAACCAUUCAUAAAUAAACAAGACAAUAAUAUGUUUUCAAGUAUAGAUUAAUGGAGCUAAGAGCUUUUUGGUAAUACAGUUUUACCUGUUUCAGCAUUUCUUUCAAACUCUUUUUUGUAAUACUCUUGUAAAUAUAUCAGAUAUGCAUACUUUUAUUAAUAGUAUAAUGCUAUUUAUAAUUAGCAUGAAAAAGUAUAGUGUUGUUCUGUUUGUUUUAUAAAUGGCAACUAAUGUAAUGUAGAAUAGAAGUAUAAUAUUUAGCUUACAGUAUGCAAAAAAUUUUUAAUUUACGGUGUUCACUUGCAACAAGUGCAAUUAGGAAUCAGUCUCCAUUUCCAUUAAAUGUAGCUUCCAUGCAAUACAUCUGUAACAUUUUUGUUGCAAAAUAAAGCAGCUUUAAGAGUUCAGGAGUCUCAACAAAUUACUUGAUUCUGAUUUCUGUGAGAUCAGAGAGAGCUAUGAGUAAUUCUUAUGUUUCCUUAAGAUUUACAUCAUUGUAUAAAAAAAAACAACACAGUAUUUCCUAAACUUGUACUUUUAAAUGUUUU